GGGGAUAUAGCUCAGUUGGUAGAGUGCUUGCCUUCUUGCAUGCAGAAGGCCCUGGGUUCGAUCCCCAGCAACAUUA
Molecule: transfer RNA, 76 nt
Filed under: Ictidomys tridecemlineatus (thirteen-lined ground squirrel)
Lineage: Eukaryota; Metazoa; Chordata; Mammalia; Rodentia; Sciuridae
Description: Spermophilus tridecemlineatus (thirteen-lined ground squirrel) tRNA
Rfam family: tRNA
About the family: Transfer RNA (tRNA) molecules are approximately 80 nucleotides in length. Their secondary structure includes four short double-helical elements and three loops (D, anti-codon, and T loops).
Source: Rfam by way of RNAcentral